Molecule: ribosomal RNA, 492 nt
Filed under: uncultured bacterium
Lineage: Bacteria
Description: partial 16S ribosomal RNA
Rfam family: Bacterial small subunit ribosomal RNA
Source: RNAcentral
AGUGAACGCUGGCGGUAGGCCUAACACAUGCAAGUCGAACGGCAGCACAGUAAGAGCUUGCUCUUACGGGUGGCGAGUGGCGGACGGGUGAGGAAUACAUCGGAAUCUACUUUUUCGUGGGGGAUAACGUAGGGAAACUUACGCUAAUACCGCAUACGACCUACGGGUGAAAGCAGGGGAUCUUCUGACCUUGCGCGAUUGAAUGAGCCGAUUUCGGAUUAGCUAGUUGGCGGGGUAAAGGCCCACCAAGGCGACGAUCCGUAGCUGGUCUGAGAGGAUGAUCAGCCAAACUGGAACUGAGACACGGACCAGACUCCUACGGGAGGCAGCAGUGGGGAAUAUUGGACAAUGGGCGCAAGCCUGAUCCAGCCAUACCGCGUGGGUGAAGAAGGCCUUCGGGUUGUAAAGCCCUUUUGUUGGGAAAGAAAAGCAGCAGGUUAAUACCCCGCUGUUCUGACGGUACCCAAAGAAUAAGCACCGGCUAACUUCGUG